AUUCUGGUUUCGGCUCCAUUUGGGGCUUUGGUUGCAACUCCAUUUGCGGCUCCAUUUGCUGUUCCCGUUGCAGCUCCAUUUGCAAUUCUGGUUUCGGCUCCAUUUGGGGCUCCAGUUGCAGAUCCAGUUGCAAUUCUAGUUUGACUCCAUUUGCAGCUCUGGUUUCAGCUCCAUUUGCAGAUCGUUUUCGAUUCUGGUUUUGGCUCCAUUUGCAGCUCCAUUUCUGGCUCCGGUUGCAGAUCCAUUUGCGAUUCUGGUUUCAGCUCCAUUUUCAGCUCCAGUUUUGGCUCCAUUUGUAGCUCCAUCUGCAGCUCCAGUUUCAGCUCCAUUUUCAGCUCCGUCUGCAGCUCCGGUUGUAGAGCCAGUUGCGAUUCUGGUUUCGGCUCCGUUUGCAGCUCCACUUGCAGCUCCGGUUGCAGAUCCAUUUGCAAUUCUGGUUUCGGCUCCAUUUGCUGUUCCAGUUGCGACUCCAGUUGCAGUUCUGGUUUCGGCUCCAUUUGUGGCUCCAGUUGAAGAUCCGGUUGCAAUUCUAGUUUGACUCCAUUUGCAGCUCUGGUUUCGGCUCCAUUUGCAGAUCGUUUUCGACUCCGGUUUUGGCUCCAUUUGCAGCUCCAUUUCUGGCUCCGGUUGCAGAGCCAGUUGCGAUUCUGGUUUCGGCUCCAUUUCUGGCUCCAGUUUUGGCUCCGUUUUCAGCUCCGUCUGCAGCUCUGGUUGCAGAUCCAGUUGCAAUUCUGGUUUUGGCUCCGUUUGCGGCUCCAUUUUUGGCUCCGGUUGCAGAUCCAGUUGCAAUUCUGGUUUUGGCUCCGUUUGCGGCUCCAUUUUUGGCUCCGGUUGCAGAUCCAGUUGCAAUUCUGGUUUUGGCUCCGUUUGCGGCUCCAUUUUUGGCUCCGGUUGCAGAUCCAGUUGCAAUUCUGGUUUGGCUCCAUUUGCAGCUCCGGUUUCGGCUCCAGUUUCAGCUCCGGUUGCAGCUCCAGUUUCAGCUCCAAUUUCGGCUCCGGUUGCAGACCCGUUUGCAACUCCGAUUUCGGCUCCGUUUACAGCGCCGAUUGCGGCUCCAUCUGCAGCUCCGGUUGCAAUUCUGGUUUCGGUCCCGUUUGCAGCUCCGGUUUCGGCUCCGGUUGCCGCUCUGGGCAGAGACCUGUUUGUAGUUCUGGUUUCGGCUCCGGUUGUGGCUUCGGGCACAGACCCGUUCGCACUUGUGGUCUUGGCUCCGGUUGUGGCUCCGGUUGCGGUUCUGGUUUCGCCUCCGGUUUUGGCUCUUUGUGGCUCCGUUUCACGGCUCUGUUGGCGGCUCUGCUCGUGGCUCUGGUUUCACCCCGGUUUCACCCCAGUUUCACCCUGGUUUCACCCCAGUUUAUAAUCUGGUUUCACCCCAGUUUCACCCUGGUUUCACCCCAGUUUACAAUCUGGUUUCACCCCACUUUCACCCUGGUUUCAAGGGGUUUUGGUGCCACCCUCCGUCCCACCACGGUUGGGGCCACCUGCCUGCCCCCCGCGGUGGCCCCGGCGC
Molecule: long non-coding RNA, 1510 nt
Filed under: Struthio camelus australis
Lineage: Eukaryota; Metazoa; Chordata; Aves; Struthioniformes; Struthionidae
Description: lncRNA (ENSSCUG00000011267.1)
Source: RNAcentral